This 497-nucleotide ribosomal RNA is filed under the name uncultured bacterium. RNAcentral's name for it is "partial 16S ribosomal RNA". It matches the Rfam family "Bacterial small subunit ribosomal RNA", at positions 28 to 507 of the family's 1533-position model. The record is from RNAcentral.
GAUGAACGCUGGCGGCGUGCCUAAUACAUGCAAGUCGAGCGAACAGACGAGGAGCUUGCUCCUCUGACGUUAGCGGCGGACGGGUGAGUAACACGUGGAUAACCUACUUAUAUGUCUGGGAUAACUUCGGGAAACCGGAGCUAAUACCGGAUAAUAUAUUCAACCGCAUGGUUCAAUAGUGAAAGACGGUUUUGCUGUCACUUAUAGAUGGUUCCGCGCCGCAUUAGCUAGUUGGUAAGGUAACGGCUUACCAAGGCGACGAUGCGUAGCCGACCUGAGAGGGUGAUCGGCCACACUGGAACUGAGACACGGUCCAGACUCCUACGGGAGGCAGCAGUAGGGAAUCUUCCGCAAUGGGCGAAAGCCUGACGGAGCAACGCCGCGUGAGUGAUGAAGGUCUUCGGAUCGUAAAACUCUGUUAUUAGGGAAGAACAAAUGUGUAAGUAACUAUGCACGUCUUGACGGUACCUAAUCAGAAAGCCACGGCUAACUACGUG